CCCCUCCCCUUCUAAAAUUUUCAGAGAGGCUCCCUUGUGAGGCAUCGGAUCUCAACUUUUUUUUCCAACGGAAAGACCCCUGUUGUGAUACAUCGUUCGAAAAAGCAUAAGAAAAAACUGCUUGCUCCAGUCCAAUGUCAAUAUCUUAUUCUGCUCCAAAAUGCAGCCGAUUAAAGUUCCAGAUGGCUGAAAAUUGACACCGGUUUUUUGUCGAUGAUUUGCGAAAAUCGAUAAUUAGAGGUAUUUUGAUAGAACAAAAAAAAUUGAACGUUCCUUUUUUUAAAAAAAGAAUGAAAAUGUCAAAAUGGCGGCCGCUUUAAAUAGAAAAGGCCGACAAUUGGCAGGUUGGUUUUUUGCGAAGAGAUUUGCCUGAAACUUGGUAUUUUUUAAAAAUGUACCCAUAAUUCGUGGUUCUCAUCUCAAAUGCCCCCCCCCCCCCACCUAAGUCUAAGGCAAAUUCAUCGAUGAAAAACCAAGAUGUCAUUUUGCAGCAAUUUUGAAUUUUAACGGGCCGCCAUCCUGAACGGUUCAAGAUAGGUACAGACUUCGAUUUUGCCCGAAAAAUGUUUGUUGUUUAUGCUCUUCCGAACGACGUAUCACAAGAGGGAUUUUCCGUUACAAAAAAGGUGGGUUCCAUUGCCCUCUUGAGGAGCGCGCUCUAACAUUUUAGAGGGACAAAAAGUAGCUCCCUUUGACGCAAGAACAUCCUCCAAGCUUCAAACCUUUACCUCAAUUGAGUUAAAAGUGAGAGGAGAUAAAAGGGAUUUUUUUGAUCACAGGGUGUAUGCACAUUAAGUAAUCCAGCUGUUUGGUAUCAAAAUAGUCUGCGACGUUAGAUGCACUCUUGAUGUCAUUAAGAUAUUUUUAACAGUUUAGUAAUUUGCAAAUACAUUUAACAAACACUUUAUUUUUUUUCUUAUUACAGGUUGGGGAUCACAUAGAAGAAUUAAUAAAGAGUCUUUAGUUGGUAGAAGGCAUUUUGAAGUCGCAAAAUAUCUUAAAGAAUUCCUAAAGAUUCUACAUUUACCAUACGACUUGUUGAACCACUUAAAGCAGGGUUUUCAAAUAUUGAGCCACGGGGGAACCCUCGGAAAGGUAAAAAAUCAAACUAUGGCAGUGGUAAAGAAACAUUAAGAUUCAAGCAAAUGGAAGGCGUUAAUUGAAGAGGAGGGGACGUACAAGGACCAUACUUGGUACUGGGAAAAAUAUUGAUUAACUCAAUAUUUUUCCCACGGAAUUUUUCCCUGGGACAAAUCCCGUGAAGCGGCUCGUGGGGACAAGGCCCCAGAAUGAAGCAACAAAAAACAAUUCUGUGACCAGCGCAAUAACUGACCCAUUAUCGUCCAUAGGAGUCAAAGGUCCUAAAUAGGUAGGUACAUCUCGUUGUUUACUGUUGAGAUAAAUCAUUUUAACGACAGAUUGAGGAUCAUUACCUUCUUUAUUUCGCAAACUAAACCGGUACAAAUUACAGAACACGAACAUCCGAUGCCAGUUCCUGGCUAACCAAGACGACGAGACUUACACACACAUACAAGCUUGAGAGGUAUAAACGAGUGUUGGGUCUCUAGCGUAUACAUCAACAUAAUCAACAGUUACACAUCUCAUUCAUUGUUUUUGGUUUUUGUUUUCUUACAGGCUGAUGGAGAGAAACAGGCUGGCAUAGAGAAAUUAACCUCUGCUUUGAAAGUUUUCUAGGUAUAAGCGACAAUGAGCUUGGUAAGAUUUC
This 1726-nucleotide long non-coding RNA is filed under the name Bemisia tabaci. RNAcentral's name for it is "lncRNA ENSSSA1NGG014369". Lineage: Eukaryota; Metazoa; Arthropoda; Insecta; Hemiptera; Aleyrodidae. The record is from RNAcentral.